CCAUCUUUGCCUUUCCUGAGCACUUGCUAACUCUGGGCUUCCAGUCACAUGAGGAAACAGAUUGUACUCUUUAAGCUAUUUUGAAUUGUGUUUUCUAUCAUUUAGAGCCCAAGUCAUUCUAACUGACAGAGGUAUGAUUUUAAGAAUGGAUUUACAUGAGGCUCACUCCAACACUAAUUCUUUCAAUAGGUAAUUUUUGAGCCCCUGCUUUGUACCAGGGGCUCUAGGUAAUUGAAAUACACCAGUGAACAAAAUGGACAGAGAUCUCUGUCUUCAUGUGGCUUAUAUUUCAGCAGGGAGAGACAGACAAUAAAAAAAGGACAUGUAGGUACGUAAAGGGCAUAGUAUGUUUGGGGUUAAAUGCCAUGAACAGGGCCAGGAACAUAGUAGGCCACAGACAAUGUUGUAAAGACGUUGGCUUUCACUCUAAAUGAAAUGGGAAGGCACUGGAGGAUUAGAGCCCAGAGCCAUAAUUCUCUGACAGUUGAGAAAUUGUGAAGGAGGAAAGUCACACUUUUUUGGGAGCUGACUUGCAUUGUCAGGGUCAGGAGGCAGACCACCAUGAAACAAAUGAGAUGCCUGAUAGCCCUUUCAGGUAGUCCAGCCUGGGUAUGUGGAAUAAAAGCAGAUAUUGCCUUUUCUUACUUAAGAACACUAGUGAGUUCUAUCAAUUGGCAACUUGGCCUUUAAAUUCACUACCUUUGAGAGCUUUUUAUAUUGCGCGUUUACCAAUUUAGGGAGUUGAACACUGGGCUUGUGGGAGAAGUCCCUGAUAUAGAAGACAGAAAAGAAUUUCAUCUUGGGCAUUGCUGUCUACAUUGUUCUUUGACUUUAUAUUUAUAGUAUUAGACCUAUUUACUCCUCUUCCUUACAGUGCCCUAGUGAGGAAAGCCUACUUUCAUAGUCUCAACUCUCAGAUAAGAAACUCUAUCAUCUAUCAUCUAUCUAUCAUCUAUUUAUUUAUUUUAAAAUUUAUUUAUUUGAGAGAGACGGGGGUGGGGCAGAGAGAAGAGGAGAGAGUCCCAGGCAGACCCUCUGCUGAGCAUGAAGUCUGAUGUGGGGCUCGAACCCAUGAUCUUGAGAUCAUGACCUGAACCAAAACCAAGAGUUGGCGGCUCAACCGACUACGUCAUCCAGGUGCCCCCAGGUAAGGAGCUUUAAACAUAGUAAAGAUCACUUUCAAUUACCAAGUGGCAUCAGAAGUUCUCUAGAUCCCAGUUAUUAUCUUUCUUUAUAGGUUAUAUAGGACUCCUGACCCAUGCAGGGUGUCCUGUCAUAGUAUGAGGCACCCUGGUCCCCCUUCUCUAUGUCAGGGUUGUGGCAUGUUUUAGCGAUUGAUCAAACUCUACUGUGGGAAAUAGAGGAAUGGUGACAUGUUAGUUCAAAUAGGCAAAGUCAGAGUGAAUGCCCAGCAUUAAAAAUACAGAUUUUCAGGACUUUUCACUGUCAAGUAGGGCUCAGCAGCUCCUCCCCUGCCUCUUACCAACGAUUUUUAUGUCUACCUGUUAGGACUCAGAUUUUAGCCUCAAAUACAGUUUUCUGCUAAAAGGAACCAGGGCAGUUUGGAGAGUGGUGAUGGCAGAGACUGCUAGUUCCCACUGUAACUGGUGUGUCCUUUAGCAGGUUUGGAGCUGGGGUCAUGACCCCGCUAUGUUCUCCAGACUCCCCUGCAGUUGGAUGGAGCCACGUGACUCAUUCUUAUUGCAGGACAUGGCACACAUGACACACACCUCCUCAAGGCAUGAGGAGACCUUUGUUAGUAGAGACCAUUGCUCUGGUGAUUCUGCCUGCAACUAUUGUUUCUUUAAUUGCUUUAAGCAAAUGCAUGCAGUUGAGGACACUUCUUUCGAGGACAUAGUGACUGGUUUCGUCUCUUAGAGGUUUUUGAAUCACCAAAGAGUCCCAGUAAAUGAUAUUUUCUUGCUUUGGAAACCUUUGAAAAUGAGUUCCACAUAACUAGAGCAUGGAGGAAAAGAACAGAAAGAAACUGGGAAAGAGUUUCUAAUUUUACUUUCCGUCCACUUCCAUCUUUACCAAAAGGUCAAACUUCUGAUGAAAACCUAGCCCUGGCCAACACCUUCAUCAAAGCCUUGGGAUACCCUAAUUAGGCAGAAGACCCAGCGAAGUUGUACCUGGAUUCCUGGCUCACUGAAACUAACAGUGCGGCCCAAGAUGUUUCUGUAAUGAUAGAAAUGUUCUACUUCUGAGCUGUCCAAUACAGAAGCCAUGAAGCCACAUAUGAUUAGUAAGCACUUGAACUGUGGCUAUGGGCAAGUAUUACCACCACUCAACCUGGAACCUGAGAGACUCAAGGACUGGCCUGUUGUUCUGGAACCAACAGGAAAGAAGAAGAAGAAGAAAAAGAAGAAGGAGAAGGAGAAGGAGAAGGAGAAGGAGAAG
Canis lupus familiaris (dog) is the source of this 2400-nucleotide RNA transcript. It is a transcript of the gene named protein PXR1-like, with no coding region annotated. The transcript has 8 exons. The record is from RefSeq and is a predicted model, not a curated record. NCBI's taxonomy places the organism in Eukaryota, Metazoa, Chordata, Mammalia, Carnivora, Canidae.